RNAcentral lists this long non-coding RNA (4022 nucleotides) under Sus scrofa (pig). RNAcentral's name for it is "lncRNA (ENSSSCG00045006095.1)". Lineage: Eukaryota; Metazoa; Chordata; Mammalia; Artiodactyla; Suidae. The record is from RNAcentral.
UGAUCCUUAUUCCUUACAUCGGCAUCUGCAUAUUUGAGUAACUAGGCUCCUUCUCCAAACUUUUCUGGGUAUUAUAUUCAGUAAUAGGUGAGGCUAUGGAUUAGUUCCUGACAGGGAAAUAGAACAGGACUGAGGGCCUAUAUAGCUCAUUGUUUGGGGACCCAAAUCAAGCCAGAGUGGGUAGUCAGGUGAGAACAGUGGUUUUGCUCUACAGAUGGGGGCAGCAUGGGCUGUGCUGUUUAGGUGCCACUGUAUCUAGGACUGUGGAACAGCUUCUGUGUACACAGCUUCUGUGUACUCUGGUUAGGCCCCUGGUUGGAUGGGCUGAAGACUAUAUUCAGCAAUGAGCAGGUUUAUGAAUUAGAUUUCUUGCCCAGGUGCAGCAGGAGUAGCAGCUCUAAAGCCAGUAAGGCUCUUUGUUGUCUUAAUUCAAGCCAGGCCACACCCUAGGUUUUCUGGCUGAAUAUUCUUUGCACACCAUCAGCUUCGCCCAUCCUUCUCUAGGCAUGAAUACUGCUGGGCUGCACAGCUUCCAGGAGUUGUUAUCAGCCCUUCUAGUCAGAUGGGGCAGGAAGAUAACCCUCCACAGCAGGUGGGAUGGGGCUAGGCUUGGCUUCUUUGCCUGGACAGAAGGAGGAGGCACACUCUUGGCUAUUCUUAAUUUCUCAAGCAGGCUCUCUAGUUGGAAGGAGCUGGGGGCUACCCUCCGCCGUGUCUAUGAAUUAAUCUCCCUGCCUAUGCAUAGCACAGGAACGCCCAGAGCCAUUACUAACUUUGCUUUGGGAUUAAUCAGCUCUGCCUGCCCACCUCUCAGCUGGAGCACCACUGGGCCAGAGCUUCCAGGAUUUAUUGCAAGCCCUUUGGGUCAGAUGGCUAGAGACGCUCUCCAUGGUGAGUGGCUAUGACUCCUCUCUUUUCUUGAGUGUGGGCAAACUUGGCUCUAUGGCUGAUGCAAAUCAGGCAGAUCUGUACCUUGCUAAGUCCCCUGGUUGUACUGUACUCCCAGCCCACCAGCUCUGUUGAUGAGCAAAGAUGCUGGUUGUGAUCACUGCUUGGGUACUGAGGUAUGAAUUCUGUCACAAUCCAUGUGCUGACUGUUGCGUGUCCCUUCCCCCUUUAUCACAGUCCAACUUUCAGUGGUCAAGCCCCACAGAUUCCCCUGCAAGCAUAGUGGGUCAGAUCAGAGCAGUGGCUCCCACAAAAGGGAUGGGGGGGGGUUGCUGGCUGUCCCCCAGUUCUCUUCUCCUAUGGGAGGAAUCAGAGGCUCAAGGGAGGCCUCACCCAUGGAGCAGUGUGAUCAAUGAAUGUGUAGUUGCUUCUCUCUUUUAAUGCCAUCUGUCUUGGUGUCUGUGGUGCAAGGGGUUCUUCAGCCUCACCUAUGUGUAAUAAGGUUCUCUCAAAUAGUGUCCUGUCCCCAAAUAAUUGUUAGCUGUUCCUCCCGUGAGGGGGAGCAGAACCAGGAAUGAUCUUAGCGAUGUCACCCCACUCUGAGCUCAUGUUGACAAUGUGUGUGUCCUUUGUAGCCCAGAUAUUUCUGGCACUUGAAAUGAAGUUCUCUUUUUAUUGUUCUCCUAGCUUUAGGACCUAAAAUAAGAGCUCUUCACUGCCACUGGCACAAAGGCAGCUGAAGUGACUAGGAAGCAAGUGCCAAUGAGAAUAGUGAGUCAAAAAUCCUUGAUUCAUGGAAAAGGAAUCCCAGAAGGAGCUCUAAACGUGACACAUUCCAAAUGAUUUAUUUAGGGUUUUUCCAAUCAAAAUCAUUUGUGCAAAAAAGAAACAGUUCUCAGACAUACAGUACUAUAUACUGCCAAAUAUGCAGAAGAACAUUGCCAGCAGUUGAGUGGUGUAGUCUACUUUGAAAUAUAUUCAGUUUUCUUAGGAUGGACGUAUGUCUGCCUCAAAGUUACUGUUUCUUUCUAGUAAUGCUGUCUAGAGUAAUGUAUUUGCUUUCGUCAGGUUAAAGAAAGAGUGACAUCUCUCCCAGGUUCUAAAGCAAUUACCACAUAAAAAUGCUUUAAAAAUUUUAGCCGAUACUUAAGGAAACCAUUACCAGCUAGUAUGGUUCCUACUAAUGCUAGUAGUCAAAUAAAGGUAUGAAAAGAACAUUAAUCUAGAAAUAAUAGAGAUGGAAAGAGGAAGAGGUAGAAAACUCAAAAAGACAGCUAAACUGUUGCUUUCUUUACAGGUUCCCAAUUAUGAUAAUAACUGUAUAAGCUUCUAAAAUAAGUAUAAUUUGAUAGAAACUUCAUGAGCCUAAUAUGAGGUAAAUCUGUACUUUAUAGAUUUUUAUUUUUCACUUUGGUAAAAUGUACAUAACAAAAUUUAUCAUUUUUAAGGGUGCAAUUCAUUGGUAUUAAGUACAUUCGCAAUGUUGAGCAGCCAUCAUAACUGUCCAUUUUAAGAACUUUUUUAUCCUAAACAAAAACUGUACUCACUAAACAAUAACCCCUUAUUUCUCUCCUCUCCUCAGCCUCUGGUAAAUUCUGUUUUAUUUUCUGUGUCUAUAAUUUGCCUAUUCUAAUUACCUCAUAGAAGUGGAAUCAUACAAUAUUUGUCUUUUUGUGCCUGGCUUCUUUCAUUUAUCAUGUUUUCAAAGUUCAUCAAUAUUAUAGCAUGUAUCACAGUUUCAUUCCUUUUUAAGGCAGAAUGAUAUUUCAUUGUCUAUAUAUAUACCACAUAUGGUAAUAUUUAGUUGGAAAACACUUUUGGUACAUUGCCUUUCUGUUAUAUCAGUGAUAUCUAGCACACAACACUAUUGCAUAACCUUUAGUAAAUGCCCAGCACUGUGCACUGUGAGUGUGCCAUAAUUUAAUUCACUCAAAACCCAUUGAUACACAUUUACUAAGUUCCGAAUUGUUUUAUGAUUUCAAGCAGUGUGAUAAUGGACAUAGAGGUGUGUAUCUUUAUAUAUCAGUGUUUUUACUUUAGAUGGAAGAAUUCUUAGAGUGGUUUGAAGUGGUAUUGUUGGGUCAGAGAUUAUGCACAAACAUAGUAAUUUAAAUGGCGUACACUGACUAUAAAAACCAUGAACUUUUUCAACAGAUAGUAUGCCUGUAUUUUCUGUAACCAUUUAUGACUGUCUUUAAAAUGAAUUCAGGUAAUAUAAGGGAGUCCAUUUUAAUGUGAUUGGAGGAAGGAAAUAAUCUUACUUUUUUCAUUUCUAAUUUAUGGAGGAAAAAUUCUAUACACAAGUAUUGAAAGAUUUCAUGUCUCUCAAUCACAUAUCAUUUCAGAAAUACUAUAGAGUACAUCACAGAUGUCAGUCAGAUCUUGUAACAACAAUGUAGAAAACUAGAACUGUCUAUAGCUAGGGUUUGUUUGUUAAGCUUCAGCAGUGGAUCAUUCGUAUCUAGCCUAAUCUAAAUUUUUAGUUAGAUUAAUUUAAAAAAUAAAAAAUAGAUUAAAUUUUAACCUAAAUCUUUUUUUAGUUCAAAUUUGUGUACCUGCAUUAUGAUAAAUCUUUUACUUUGUUGUUUUUUCCCCUUAGUUUCUCUUUAAUAUAUCCUUUUUAAUUUAUGUUAAAACAGAAUAGUUAAAGCCCAGUCAUGAGAGUGACUUAUGAAGCUAAACUGCAGAAUAUUGAAAUAUCUGAAGUAUGAACACAGUUGGCAAAACUUUUAGCUACUUUCCUUAGAGGAAGACUGUUCUAAUUUGCCUUGUCCAAGAAAGGAGAAACAGAGAGCUUGCUGGCAAUUGCAUCAUAUGUUUUACUUGAAUUGGACAUUAACAGGCCAAAAGGGCAAGGAUGUUCGUAACAUAUUUUGAACAGCUGCUUAAAAGUGAAGGGUUGCAAGAACACAGAUAAACAUACCCUAAACAUUUCACAACAGUAUUUUAAGGUAUGCCUUUUCUUUGGGGUUCCCCUUGUGGCACAGUGGAAACGAAUCUGACUAGUAUCCAUGAGGCUGCAGGUUCAAUCUCUGGCCUCACUCAGUGAGUCAGGGAUCUGGCAUUGCUGUGAGCUGUGGUGUAGGUUGCAGAUGUGGCUCGGAUCCUGUGUUGCUGUGGCUGUGGUGUAGGCC